UACGUAGGUGGCGAGCGUUGUCCGGAAUUAUUGGGCGUAAAGAGCAUGUAGGCGGCUUUUUAAGUCGGGCGUGAAAAUGCGGGGCUUAACCCCGUAUGGCGUUCGAAACUGGAGGGCUUGAGUGCAGGAGAGGAAAGGGGAAUUCCCAGUGUAGCGGUGAAAUGCGUAGAUAUUGGGAGGAACACCAGUGGCGAAGGCGCCUUUCUGGACUGUGUCUGACGCUGAGAUGCGAAAGCCAGGGUAGCAAACGGG
This 252-nucleotide ribosomal RNA is filed under the name uncultured bacterium. Its description in RNAcentral is "partial 16S ribosomal RNA". It matches the Rfam family "Bacterial small subunit ribosomal RNA", at positions 524 to 776 of the family's 1533-position model. The record is from RNAcentral.